RNAcentral lists this ribosomal RNA (770 nucleotides) under uncultured Hyphomicrobiales bacterium. Its description in RNAcentral is "bacterial SSU rRNA". It matches the Rfam family "Bacterial small subunit ribosomal RNA", at positions 77 to 874 of the family's 1533-position model. Lineage: Bacteria; Pseudomonadati; Pseudomonadota; Alphaproteobacteria; Hyphomicrobiales. The record is from RNAcentral.
CCUUCGGGUGUGAGUGGCAAACGGGUGAGUAACGCGUGGGAAUUUACCUCAAGCUUUGGGAUAACACAGAGAAAUUUGUGCUAAUACCGGAUGUGCUGAUAUAAAGGGAUUUAUGUCGGGAAAGAUUUAUCGGUUUGAGAUAAGCCCGCGUUGGAUUAGCUAGUUGGUAGGGUAAUGGCCUACCAAGGCGACGAUCCAUAGCUGGUCUGAGAGGAUGAUCAGCCACACUGGGACUGAGACACGGCCCAAACUCCUACGGGAGGCAGCAGUGGGGAAUAUUGGACAAUGGGCGCAAGCCUGAUCCAGCCAUGCCGCGUGAGUGAUGACGGCCUUAGGGUUGUAAAGCUCUUUCACCGGAGAAGAUAAUGACGGUAUCCGGAGAAGAAGCCCCGGCUAACUUCGUGCCAGCAGCCGCGGUAAUACGAAGGGGGCUAGCGUUGUUCGGAUUUACUGGGCGUAAAGCGCGCGUAGGCGGAUAUUUAAGUCAGGGGUGAAAUCCCGGGGCUCAACCCCGGAACUGCCUUUGAUACUGGAUAUCUUGAGUAUGGAAGAGGUGAGUGGAAUUCCGAGUGUAGAGGUGAAAUUCGUAGAUAUUCGGAGGAACACCAGUGGCGAAGGCGGCUCACUGGUCCAUUACUGACGCUGAGGUGCGAAAGCGUGGGGAGCAAACAGGAUUAGAUACCCUGGUAGUCCACGCUGUAAACGAUGAAUGUCAGCUGUUGGCAGGUUUACCUGUCAGUGGCGCAGUUAACGCAUUAAACAUUCCGCCU